GCAGGCUUGGUACGGACGACGGAGUUGUUGGUAGGAACGUGCGUCGGGUUGGAGGUCUUUCGGGGCUGAAGGCUCGUCGUGCUUACUACUCCCCUCUCUAGAAUCCUGCCGCUUUGGCCAUGGGUCGAUCCUCGACUGGCUGCCCUCGGGUUCCCAUCCUCUUCUGUCGAGUACGCUGGAUGAGUUAUUUUCUCCGGUCUCUGCUCGGUAGGGGGUUUACGGGAUGGUGCUCGGACGGCGAAAGUCUUAAUUUUCAUCUUCGGAUGAUUGUAACCUGCUUUAGACAGGGGGGCGCAGGCCCGGGACUUGCCAUAGACGCCACAUGUCUCCCAUAGGUUGCUGCCUUCGCUGCUGUCGCAUCCGUCUUUAUGAUGUGAGGUGUGGCUGUUGGCGGGGGUGGGCGCCGACCGGGUUAGCGAGUGUGUAGUCGGCAAGUACCAUGAGCAGGCAUGUUGGGACCCGAAAGAUGGUGAACUAUGCCUGGCCAGGAUGAAGCCAGAGGAAACUCUGGUGGAGGUCCGUAGCGAUUCUGACGUGCAAAUCGAUCGUCAGAGCUGGGUAUAGGGGCGAAAGACUAAUCGAACCAUCUAGUAGCUGGUUCCCUCCGAAGUUUCCCUCAGGAUAGCUGGAACUCGCUCCCAGAUGAAUUUCAUCCGGUAAAGCGAAUGAUUAGAGGUCUUGGGGACGAAACGUCCUCAACCUAUUCUCAAACUUUAAAUGGGUGAGAUGCCGAGCUUGCUUAAAAGCUGAAGCUUCGGCGAAGAAUCGGAGUUCCUAGUGGGCCACUUUUGGUAAGCAGAACUGGCGCUGUGGGAUGAACCAAACGUCGAGUUAAGGGGCCUAAACGAAUG
This 851-nucleotide ribosomal RNA is filed under the name Scyllarus arctus. RNAcentral describes it as "eukaryotic LSU rRNA". The stretch from base 400 to 851 matches the Rfam family "Eukaryotic large subunit ribosomal RNA", at positions 670 to 1199 of the family's 3401-position model. The record is from RNAcentral. Lineage: Eukaryota; Metazoa; Arthropoda; Malacostraca; Decapoda; Scyllaridae.